CCUACGGGAGGCUGCAGUCGAGAAUCAUUCACAAUGGGGGAAACCCUGAUGGUGCGACGCCGCGUGGGGGAAUGAAGGUCUUCGGAUUGUAAACCCCUGUCAUGUGGGAGCAAAUUAAAAAGAUAGUACCACAAGAGGAAGAGACGGCUAACUCUGUGCCAGCAGCCGCGGUAAGACAGAGGUCUCAAGCGUUGUUCGGAUUCACUGGGCGUAAAGCGUGCGUAGGCUGUUUCGUAAGUCGUGUGUGAAAGGCGCGGGCUCAACCCGCGGACGGCACAUGAUACUGCGAGACUAGAGUAAUGGAGGGGGAACCGGAAUUCUCGGUGUAGCAGUGAAAUGCGUAGAUAUCGAGAGGAACACUCGUGGCGAAGGCGGGUUCCUGGACAUUAACUGACGCUGAGGCACGAAGGCCAGGGGAGCGAAAGGGAUUAGAUACCCGGGUAGUC
This 446-nucleotide ribosomal RNA is filed under the name uncultured bacterium. Its description in RNAcentral is "partial 16S ribosomal RNA". It matches the Rfam family "Bacterial small subunit ribosomal RNA", at positions 338 to 795 of the family's 1533-position model. The record is from RNAcentral.